AGAGUUUGAUCAUGGCUCAGGACGAACGCUGGCGGCGUGGAUUAGGCAUGCAAGUCGCGCGACAGACGAGCUUCGGCUCGUUAUGGAGCGGCGAACGGGUGAGUAACACGUGAACAAUCUGUCCCCACAUUCCGGAUAAUUCGCCGAAAGGCGUUGUAAUACGGGCGAGGAUCCAGAAUGGGCAUCUUUUCUGGAAGGAAGGUAGCAAUACCGUGCGGGGAGGAGUUCGCGGCCUAUCAGGUAGUUGGUGAGGUAAUGGCUCACCAAGCCGACGACGGGUAGCUGGUCUGAGAGGAUGGUCAGCCACAUUGGGACUGAGACACUGCCCAGACUCCUACGGGAGGCUGCAGUCGAGAAUCUUGGGCAAUGCACGAAAGUGUGACCCAGCGACGCCGCGUGGAGGAUGAAGGCCCUUGGGUCGUAAACUCCUUUUGUGAGAGAAGAACGCUCCUUUGGAGCUUGACGGUAUCUCACGAAUAAGCCACGGCUAACUACGUGCCAGCAGCCGCGGUAAUACGUAGGUGGCAAGCGUUGUCCGGAUUUACUGGGCGUAAAGCGUGUGUAGGCGGAUGCUUAAGUAGAAAGUGAAAGGUCGGAGCUCAACUCCAACACUGCUUUCUAUACUGGGCGUCUUGAGUACCGGAGAGGAAGAUGGAACGACACGUGUAGCGGUGAAAUGCGUUGAGAUGUGUCGGAACACCAAUGGCGAAGGCAGUCUUCUGGACGGUGGAGGUUUCUCCUUAAAUCUGACGCUGAGACACGAA
This 764-nucleotide ribosomal RNA is filed under the name uncultured bacterium. RNAcentral's name for it is "bacterial SSU rRNA". It matches the Rfam family "Bacterial small subunit ribosomal RNA", at positions 8 to 757 of the family's 1533-position model. The record is from RNAcentral.